Molecule: ribosomal RNA, 428 nt
Filed under: uncultured prokaryote
Description: bacterial SSU rRNA
Rfam family: Bacterial small subunit ribosomal RNA
Source: RNAcentral
UGGGGAAUUUUGCGCAAUGGGGGAAACCCUGACGCAGCAACGCCGCGUGAGUGAUGAAGGCUUUCGGGUCGUAAAGCUCUGUCUAGAGGGAAGAAAUGAUAUUCGGUUAAUACCCGGAUUUCUUGACGGUACCUCUGAAGGAAGCACCGGCUAACUCCGUGCCAGCAGCCGCGGUAAUACGGAGGGUGCAAGCGUUGUUCGGAUUUAUUGGGCGUAAAGCGCGUGUAGGCGGUUUGUUAAGUCUGAUGUGAAAGCCCUGGGCUCAACCUGGGAAGUGCAUUGGAAACUGGCAGACUUGAAUACGGGAGAGGGUAGUGGAAUUCCUAGUGUAGGAGUGAAAUCCGUAGAUAUUAGGAGGAACACCGGUGGCGAAGGCGGCCACCUGGCCGGCAACUGACGCUGAGGUGCGAAAGCGUGGGGAUCAAACA